Molecule: non-coding RNA, 1645 nt
Organism: Ciona intestinalis (vase tunicate)
Lineage: Eukaryota; Metazoa; Chordata; Ascidiacea; Phlebobranchia; Cionidae
Source: RefSeq, a predicted model, not a curated record
GUUGAUUAACUCUGUGGUAAUUUAUCAAUAUUUUCCCAACGCAUGAAACGUCAAGCAUGAUCCGUGGCGUGGCGUUGCGUGGCAAAGGUCACACACGUCCACAAAGGUGGCAGCAUUGGGAUUCGAGUCCGCUCCCUCUUGUUGUUGUUGUGUAAGCGUUGUAACCACUAUAGCGGUGGAUGUUUUAUUAGUACCCUAUAUGUUAUAACCCUGUCAAAUAUUUUAUCCUCAAAUUAAAAGGUAGAUUGCAGUUACUGCAGUUAAAAAUGAGAUUCCGAUUUAUUUUUCUGUCUUUCCUGUUUCUUCAAGUUUCUUGUUCACGAUUGACUAAAAGAGAUGAAGCCGACGAUUCAUCACGUGUUUUGACAACAACAUCAACUAAAUCAACAACAACAACCAUAGUACCCAUGAUCCAAUCAACAAAUACUAUCCCCUCAACAACAUUAACGACAACCAUUUCACCGCCCACAAUCAAGGUAUCAAUUCCAACAACAACAACUGAAUCAACAACAACAACAACAACUAAAUCAACAACAACAACAACAACUGAGCCAACAACAACAACUGAGCCAACAACAACAACUGAGUCAACAACAACAACAACUGAGCCAACAACAACAACUGAACUAACAACAACAACUAAACCAACAACAACAGAAUUAACAACAACAUCAACUGAACCAACAACACCAACUGAAACAACAACAACUGAGGCAACAACAAAAACUGAAUCAAAAAUAACAUCAACUGAGCCAACAACAACAACUGAGCCAACAACAACAACAACAACAACUGAACCAACAACAACAACUGAACCAACAACAACAGCUGAACCAACAACAACAACUGAAUCAACAGCAUCAACUGAACCAACAACAACAACUGAAUCAACAACAACAACUGAAUCAACAACAACAUCAACUGAACCAGCAACAACAGCUGAACCAACAACAACAACUGAAUCAACAACAUCAACUGAACCAACAACAACUGAACCAACAACAACUGAAGCAACAACGCAAUCAACGGUAGAAACUGCCACCGCCUUGAUACUUAAACCUGUAUUAGUGACAUCACAAAACAAGAUGAAAUCGACGAACAAUCAAAAAAUCGACAUCGACCAGCUGUUGGGGACGGUCCGACUGUGGCAAUUACAACAACAAAAUUGUUAACAACCAAAAUGUCAACGACCAAAUCAACAACAAAACAGCCAAGUACACCAACAACAAUCGAAGACUCUGUGAUAAACGAAGCAAAGAUUUUGAACGAUUUGGGACGGGCACCUCAGCAGCAAUCGUCCUCGUUGUGUUCGUUGCUAUUAUCUUGGUGAUGUUUUGUUUGUGUAAAUGUUGCAGGAAGUCGAAAUAUGCACUGCUUAAACAAAGGAUGCUGAGGGAUUACGGACGAGAAAAAGAUUUUUUGCUGACGGAGAAAGGGGGGGGAUACAAGAGCGACCGACUUACUUUACUCGAUCAAAGUUCCGAAGAUGAAUUCUAACUUUGCACUGUUUACUCCUAGUUUAGUUUUAAUGCAAAUAGCAAUUGUGUUUUAUUUAUAAUUAUGUUGCAGCCUGUGUCGAACUGCCGCCGUAUAUAUCGUUGUUUAAUUAUUACACGUAGCAGCAAAUACACUUUUCUUCACAAAA